RNAcentral lists this ribosomal RNA (466 nucleotides) under uncultured bacterium. Its description in RNAcentral is "partial 16S ribosomal RNA". It matches the Rfam family "Bacterial small subunit ribosomal RNA", at positions 28 to 507 of the family's 1533-position model. The record is from RNAcentral.
GACGAACGCUGGCGGCGCGCCUAACACAUGCAAGUCGAACGAGCGAGCGAGAGCUUGCUUUCUUGAGCGAGUGGCGAACGGGUGAGUAACGCGUGAGGAACCUGCCUCAAAGAGGGGGACAACAGUUGGAAACGACUGCUAAUACCGCAUAAGCCCACGACCCGGCAUCGGGUUGAGGGAAAAGGAGCAAUCCGCUUUGAGAUGGCCUCGCGUCCGAUUAGCUAGGUGGUGAGGUAACGGCCCACCAAGGCGACGAUCGGUAGCCGGGCGGAGAGGUGGAACGGUCAGAUUGGGACUGAGACACGGCCCAGACUCCGACGGGAGGCAGCAGUGGGGAAUAUUGCACAAGGGGGGAAGCCCUGAUGCAGCGGCGCCGCGGGGAGGAAGAAGGUCUUCGGAUUGUAAACUCCUGUUGGUGAGGAAGAUAAUGACGGUACUCAGCAAGGAAGUGACGGCUAACUACGUG